GGGAUUGCCUUAGUAACUGCGAGUGAAGCGGCAAGAGCUCAAAUUUGAAAUCUGGCGCCUAUGGUGUCCGAGUUGUAAUUUGGAGAGAUGACUUCGGUGCUGCCGGCCGUCCCAAGUUCCUUGGAACAGGACGUCACAGAGGGUGAGAAUCCCGUGUCUGGUCGGUUGGCGGGUGCCAUGUGAAGUCUCUUCGACGAGUCGAGUUGUUUGGGAAUGCAGCUCAAAAUGGGUGGUAAAUUUCAUCUAAAGCUAAAUAUUUGCGAGAGACCGAUAGCGCACAAGUAGAGUGAUCGAAAGAUGAAAAGCACUUUGAAAAGAGAGUCAAAAAGUACGUGAAAUUGUUGAAAGGGAAGCGCUUGAGAUCAGACUCGGCUGUCGGUGAUCAGCAGUCCUUCUGGGCUGUGCACUGGCUGACAGUCGGACCAGCAUCGGUUGCUGCGGUAGGAGAAAGGCUGGGGGAAUGUGAUCAACUUCGGUUGGUGUUAUAGCCCCUGGUGUAAUGCUGCCAGUAGUGACCGAGGCCCGCGCAUUUAUGCUAGGAUGCUGGUGAAAUGGUCUUCAGCGACCCGUCUUGAAACACGGACCAAGGAGUCUAACAUCUAUGCAAGUGUUUGGGUGUAAAACCCUUGCGCGUAAUGAAAGUGAACGUAGGUGGGAACCCGUAAGGGGGCACCAUCGACCGAUCCUGAUGUCUUCGGAUGGAUUUGAGUAAGAGCAUAGCUGUUGGGACCCGAAAGAUGGUGAACUAUGCCUGAAUAGGGUGAAGCCAGAGGAAACUCUGGUGGAGGCUCGCAGCGGUUCUGACGUGCAAAUCGAUCGUCAAAUU
RNAcentral lists this ribosomal RNA (826 nucleotides) under Pulvinula ovalispora. RNAcentral's name for it is "eukaryotic LSU rRNA". It matches the Rfam family "Eukaryotic large subunit ribosomal RNA", at positions 71 to 911 of the family's 3401-position model. The record is from RNAcentral. Lineage: Eukaryota; Fungi; Ascomycota; Pezizomycetes; Pezizales; Pulvinulaceae.